RNAcentral lists this ribosomal RNA (379 nucleotides) under uncultured eukaryote. Its description in RNAcentral is "partial 18S ribosomal RNA". It matches the Rfam family "Eukaryotic small subunit ribosomal RNA", at positions 592 to 976 of the family's 1831-position model. The record is from RNAcentral.
CAAUAGCGUAUAUUAAAGUUGUUGCGGUAAAAAAGCUCGUAGUUGGAUUUCUGUUGAGAGCGACCGGUCCAUACCAUGUAUGCGUAUCUGGCUUGCUCUCGGCAUCCUCUCGAUAGACGUUACUGCGCUUGAUUGCGUGGUGCGGAUCUCGGGACUUUUACUUUGAGGAAAUUAGAGUGUUCACGGCAGGCUUUCACCAGAAUACAUUAGCAUGGAAUAAUACUAUAGGAUCUUGGUUCUAUUUUGUUGGUUUCUAGAAUUGAGAUAAUGAUUAAUAGGGACAAUUGGGGGCAUUCGUAUCAACACGUCAGAGGUGGAAUUCUUGGAUUGUGUUGCGACGAACUACUGCGAAAGCAUUUGCCAAGGAUGUUUUCAUUGA